This is a long non-coding RNA of Drosophila sechellia, 488 nucleotides long. RefSeq lists it as uncharacterized. The record is from RefSeq and is a predicted model, not a curated record. The transcript is spliced from 2 exons. NCBI's taxonomy places the organism in Eukaryota, Metazoa, Arthropoda, Insecta, Diptera, Drosophilidae.
CGAUAAGUUGGCAGCGCUAUCAGCUGCAUAUGUUGGAAAUUUUCCAAGUUGUUGGAACAUGCGGUCGCUCAACGCGUUUUAGUCUCGCACAGAACUUUGGCACAAAUCCACCUUGUGCUUUGGCAAAAUGGCGGCUGGUUCUGACUAGCACAACUUCAUAUAUACCAGAUCGAUGGAACUCAGCAGCAACAAUAAAUCAAACAGACGGCUGACAAUGACAAUCGCGCCAGGCAUCAUGAUCAGGGUUAUCAUAACGGUAACCAACAUAGAGGAGGAGCCAGAAGUAAUGGUCGUCGACCAUGGAGUAAAAGAGAAAGAGGUGGACGUAGACCAUCAUUAAAUAAAACGGGACAUAGGCCGGAAAAAAAUUCUGGAGGGGGCUGGUCUUCCAAAGACAGCAUGCCCUCUUUCAGAACACCCGUUAUUUUUAAUUUCUUUGAGCUCACUUUUAGGCUAGACUUUGCCUUUUCAAAUUUCCGCGGCCCUAU